UACGUAGGGGGCAAGCGUUAUCCGGAUUCACUGGGCGUAAAGGGAGCGCAGGCGGCAUGGCAAGUCUGAUGUGAAAACCCGGGGCCCAACCCCGGGAGUGCAUUGGAAACUGCCAGGCUGGAGUGUCGGAGGGGUAAGCGGAAUUCCUAGUGUAGCGGUGAAAUGCGUAGAUAUUAGGAGGAACACCAGUGGCGAAGGCGGCUUACUGGACGAUAACUGACGUUGAGGCUCGAAAGCGUGGGGAGCAAACAGG
This 253-nucleotide ribosomal RNA is filed under the name uncultured bacterium. RNAcentral describes it as "partial 16S ribosomal RNA". It matches the Rfam family "Bacterial small subunit ribosomal RNA", at positions 524 to 776 of the family's 1533-position model. The record is from RNAcentral.